This 73-nucleotide transfer RNA is filed under the name Candidatus Thorarchaeota archaeon. Its description in RNAcentral is "tRNA-Arg". It matches the Rfam family "tRNA". Rfam says of the family: Transfer RNA (tRNA) molecules are approximately 80 nucleotides in length. Their secondary structure includes four short double-helical elements and three loops (D, anti-codon, and T loops). Further hydrogen bonds mediate the characteristic L-shaped molecular structure. tRNAs have two regions of fundamental functional importance: the anti-codon, which is responsible for specific mRNA codon recognition, and the 3' end, to which the tRNAs corresponding amino acid is attached (by aminoacyl-tRNA synthetases). tRNAs cope with the degeneracy of the genetic code in two manners: having more than one tRNA (with a specific anti-codon) for a particular amino acid; and 'wobble' base-pairing, i.e. permitting non-standard base-pairing at the 3rd anti-codon position. RNAcentral also lists the same sequence under 1 other name. Lineage: Archaea; Promethearchaeati; Candidatus Thorarchaeota. The record is from RNAcentral.
GGAUCCGUAGCUCAGUGGAAAGAGCCCUGGCUUCCGGAGCCAGUAGUCGUGGGUUCAAUUCCCACCGGAUCCG